GAGUUUGAUCAUGGCUCAGGACGAACGCUGGCGGCGCGCUUAACACAUGCAAGUCGAACGGGCUUCGGAAGGGGGGUCAGUGGCGAACGGGUGCGUAACACGUGAGCAACCUGCCCGGAUGCGGGGGAUAACCCGGGGAAACCCGGGCUAAUACCGCAUGAGAUCACGUCCUCGCAUGGGGAGGUGCUGAAAGCUCCUGCGCCGGAGCGCCUGCAGAGGGGCUCGCGGCGUAUCAGCUAGCUGGUGGGGUAACGGCCUACCAGGGCUACGACGCGUAGCCGAUCUGAGAGGAUGAUCGGCCACAUUGGGACUGAGAUACGGCCCAGACUCCUACGGGAGGCAGCAGUGGGGAAUCUUGCGCAAUGGGCGAAAGCCUGACGCAGCGACGCCGCGUGCGGGAUGACGCUUUUCGGAGUGUAAACCGCUGUCAGGAGGGAAGAAGUCCGUGGGGAGGAAAUGCCCUGCGGUUGACGGUACCUCCAGAGGAAGCACCGGCUAACUCCGUGCCAGCAGCCGCGGUAAUACAAGGG
This 530-nucleotide ribosomal RNA is filed under the name uncultured bacterium. RNAcentral's name for it is "bacterial SSU rRNA". It matches the Rfam family "Bacterial small subunit ribosomal RNA", at positions 9 to 531 of the family's 1533-position model. The record is from RNAcentral.